AUACGGAGGGUGCAAGCGUUGUCCGGAUUUAUUGGGUUUAAAGGGUGUGUAGGCGGUGUAUUAAGUCAGUGGUGAAAGCCUGCGGCUCAACCGUAGAACUGCCAUUGAUACUGACACACUUGAGUAUGGACGAGGUAGGCGGAAUUUAUGGUGUAGCGGUGAAAUGCAUAGAUACCAUAAAGAACACCGAUAGCGAAGGCAGCUUACUAGGCCAUAACUGACGCUGAGGCACGAAAGCGUGGGGAGCGAACAGGAUUAGAUACCCCUGUAGUCC
RNAcentral lists this ribosomal RNA (274 nucleotides) under uncultured bacterium. RNAcentral's name for it is "partial 16S ribosomal RNA". It matches the Rfam family "Bacterial small subunit ribosomal RNA", at positions 523 to 796 of the family's 1533-position model. The record is from RNAcentral.